CUACCUUUUCUCCUAAGUCAAAGUUUUCAAAAUUUGACCAACUUUAUAAAAAAGAGUAGUGACAUAUAUGACAUUAGAUUGGUAUAUUAUGAAAGUACAUUUCAAAGCGGAUCUAGUGAUACUAAUUUAGUGCCAUAUAUGUUGCUACUUUUCUUUAUAAAGUUGGUCAAAAUUUUAAAACUUUGACUUAGGACAAAAGCUAGA
This 204-nucleotide microRNA precursor is filed under the name Triticum aestivum (bread wheat). Its description in RNAcentral is "MIR1435 microRNA precursor family". It matches the Rfam family "MIR1435 microRNA precursor family". The record is from Rfam by way of RNAcentral. RNAcentral also lists the same sequence under 1 other name. Lineage: Eukaryota; Viridiplantae; Streptophyta; Magnoliopsida; Poales; Poaceae.